Molecule: long non-coding RNA, 387 nt
Organism: Nerophis ophidion (straightnose pipefish)
Lineage: Eukaryota; Metazoa; Chordata; Actinopteri; Syngnathiformes; Syngnathidae
Exons: 2
Source: RefSeq, a predicted model, not a curated record
GUUGUGCCGAAUUCUGCACCCCCGCCGUAAAAUGCACCCCCUGUCGGGAGCGCGCUUACGUCACUCGGUUGCAUCACCCGUCUCGAAAAGUAGCUAAACUCGGCUAAAAUCGCCUCUUUCGGCAUAAAAAUGUACAUAACAAGGUGAAUAAUCCAAGUUGUCUUUACUUUGGAUAUAUUAAUGGAUGGAUUAAUUGUGAUUCUUUAAUGAUUUCGCCGCCAUUGCCUUUAAUGAUUUCGUCGUCAUUCAGAGACAUCAAGGAGAACGAAUGUUUGCUGCUUCACUCGACGGGAUCCAAUACAUGUAUUUUAAAAAUAUGACAUUUUCUUUAACUGUAAGAAGCUCAUGGGUGGAUGGAUGAAUACAUUAAUAAAUGAAUGCAUCUGA